GUUUUAAACCCUUUCAGGGGAACCUGUUCCGUCAUCGAUAGUCCACGAAGAACCUUACUUUUUUUAGUUUUUCAGCUUGUAUACCGUCGUCGUCAGGUGACCUCAAUAGAGAAUAGUAGUUGGCUGAUAGAACAGUUUUUCUAUACGUCAGAUCAAGGUGCAGCUUAUGAAAAAGUGGAGAUGGGUUACUGAUAUAAAAUUUUUUAUGGGUUUUGUUUUGAAAUAGAAUGAUAUAAAAGCGGACUUGAGAGUAAAUAUUAUAAGGAAGAGAGAAAUAUUGAAAAUGGUUUUAAAAUGUGC
Molecule: ribosomal RNA, 300 nt
Filed under: Cocculina sp. L429
Lineage: Eukaryota; Metazoa; Mollusca; Gastropoda; Cocculinidae
Description: partial 12S ribosomal RNA
Source: RNAcentral